UGGGGAAUAUUGGACAAUGGGGGCAACCCUGAUCCAGCCAUGCCGCGUGUGUGAAGAAGGCCUUUUGGUUGUAAAGCACUUUAAGCAGUGAAGAAGACUCCAUGGUUAAUACCCAUGGACGAUGACAUUAGCUGCAGAAUAAGCACCGGCUAACUCUGUGCCCGCAGCCGCGGUAAUACAGAGGGUGCAAGCGUUAAUCGGAAUUACUGGGCGUAAAGCGAGCGUAGGUGGCUUGAUAAGUCAGAUGUGAAAGCCCCGGGCUUAACCUGGGAACGGCAUCUGAUACUGUUAGGCUAGAGUAGGUGAGAGGAAGGUAGAAUUCCAGGUGUAGCGGUGAAAUGCGUAGAGAUCUGGAGGAAUACCGAUGGCGAAGGCAGCCUUCUGGCAUCAUACUGACACUGAGGUUCGAAAGCGUGGGUAGCAAACA
RNAcentral lists this ribosomal RNA (427 nucleotides) under uncultured bacterium. RNAcentral's name for it is "partial 16S ribosomal RNA". It matches the Rfam family "Bacterial small subunit ribosomal RNA", at positions 355 to 774 of the family's 1533-position model. The record is from RNAcentral.